AGUAUAUGAGCGCUCAGUCGCUCAAUCGCUCAGUCUGAGUUUCCAACAUGUACUGUUCAGUGUUAUUGUUGUUGUUCUUUGCUAUACUGCCUGGAGUCAUCGGAUCACCGCCGACUCCUCCUCCUCCUAUCGGUCAGCGGCAGCGAGAAGCACAACAGGUUGGUUUUUUAUCGUUUGUAUUGUUAUCCGAUUACUAAACUGAAGAUUUUUACUAUAAUAUUAUCUUUGUGGUUUUUACCAUCAGAUACCCGAUUCACCUGAUUCUCCUGACGCCCAGCAUGCUGAGGACUUUUUAGAGGCUUUAAUAGCAGAAGAACAGAUACCCGAUUCACCCGAUUCUCCAGGAGCCCAGCACGAUGAGGACUUUUUUGAGGCUUUAUUAGAAGAAGAAGAAGAACAGCAGUCAUCUGACCCUUGGGAAUUCCCAUCACGCGGUAGCUGCAGACGCAGAACUCCUCCUCCUUCGAGUUCUUCAGAUUCGGUUAGUGGAAUUUUUGUGUGUGUGUGUGUGUGUGUGUGUGUGUG
Molecule: long non-coding RNA, 525 nt
Filed under: Homalodisca vitripennis (glassy-winged sharpshooter)
Lineage: Eukaryota; Metazoa; Arthropoda; Insecta; Hemiptera; Cicadellidae
Description: uncharacterized LOC124368473
Source: RNAcentral